CCUACGGGAGGCAGCAGUGAGGAAUAUUGGUCAAUGGGCGGAAGCCUGAACCAGCCAAGUAGCGUGAAGGAUGACGGCCCUACGGGUUUUAAACUGCUUUUAUACGGGAAUAACGCGCCUUACGUGUAGGGCUUUGCAUGUACCGUAUGAAGUAGGACCGGCUAAUUCCGUGCCAGCGGCCGCGGUAAUACGGAAGGUCCGGGCGUUUUCAGGAUUUAUUGGGGUUAAAGGGAGCGUAGGCGGCAAGUCAAGGGUGCUGUGAAAUGUCCGGGCUCAACCCGGGUCUUGCAGCGCGAACUGGCGUGCUUGAGUCCGCGGAAAGCAGGCGGAAUUCGUCGUGUAGCGGUGAAAUGCUUAGAUAUGACGAAGAACCCCGAUUGCGAAGGCAGCUUGCUGCAGCGGAACUGACGCUGAUGCUCGAAAGCGCGGGUAUCGAACAGGAUUAGAUACCCGGGUAGUC
This 460-nucleotide ribosomal RNA is filed under the name uncultured bacterium. Its description in RNAcentral is "partial 16S ribosomal RNA". It matches the Rfam family "Bacterial small subunit ribosomal RNA", at positions 338 to 795 of the family's 1533-position model. The record is from RNAcentral.